RNAcentral lists this ribosomal RNA (981 nucleotides) under Lentilactobacillus buchneri. RNAcentral's name for it is "bacterial SSU rRNA". It matches the Rfam family "Bacterial small subunit ribosomal RNA", at positions 34 to 976 of the family's 1533-position model. Lineage: Bacteria; Bacillati; Bacillota; Bacilli; Lactobacillales; Lactobacillaceae. The record is from RNAcentral.
CUCAUACGGCUCCUAUAAUGCAGUCGACGCGUCUCCGUUGAUGAUUUCAGGUGCUUGCACUUGAAAGAUUUAACAUUGAGACGAGUGGCGAACUGGUGAGUAACACGUGGGUAACCUGCCCUUGAAGUAGGGGAUAACACUUGGAAACAGGUGCUAAUACCGUAUAACAACCAAAACCACCUGGUUUUGGUUUAAAAGACGGCUUCGGCUGUCACUUUAGGAUGGACCCGCGGCGUAUUAGCUUGUUGGUAAGGUAACGGCUUACCAAGGCGAUGAUACGUAGCCGACCUGAGAGGGUAAUCGGCCACAUUGGGACUGAGACACGGCCCAAACUCCUACGGGAGGCAGCAGUAGGGAAUCUUCCACAAUGGACGAAAGUCUGAUGGAGCAACGCCGCGUGAGUGAUGAAGGGUUUCGGCUCGUAAAACUCUGUUGUUGGAGAAGAACAGGUGUCAGAGUAACUGUUGACAUCUUGACGGUAUCCAACCAGAAAGCCACGGCUAACUACGUGCCAGCAGCCGCGGUAAUACGUAGGUGGCAAGCGUUGUCCGGAUUUAUUGGGCGUAAAGCGAGCGCAGGCGGUUUUUUAGGUCUGAUGUGAAAGCCUUCGGCUUAACCGGAGAAGUGCAUCGGAAACCGGGAGACUUGAGUGCAGAAGAGGACAGUGGAACUCCAUGUGUAGCGGUGAAAUGCGUAGAUAUAUGGAAGAACACCAGUGGCGAAGGCGGCUGUCUGGUCUGUAACUGACGCUGAGGCUCGAAAGCAUGGGUAGCGAACAGGAUUAGAUACCCUGGUAGUCCAUGCCGUAAACGAUGAGUGCUAAGUGUUGGAGGGUUUCCGCCCUUCAGUGCUGCAGCUAACGCAUUAAGCACUCCGCCUGGGGAGUACGACCGCAAGGUUGAAACUCAAAGGAAUUGACGGGGGCCCGCACAAGCGGUGGAGCAUGUGGUUUAAUUCGAUGCUACGCGAAGAACCUUACCA